UACAGAGGGGGCAAGCGUUAUUCGGAAUUACUGGGCGUAAAGGGCGCGUAGGCGGCCGCCUAAGUCAGACGUGAAAUCCCUCGGCUCAACCGGGGAACUGCGUCUGAUACUGGGUGGCUUGAAUCCGGGAGAGGGAUGCGGAAUUCCAGGUGUAGCGGUGAAAUGCGUAGAUAUCUGGAGGAACACCGGUGGCGAAGGCGGCAUCCUGGACCGAGAUUGACGCUGAGGCGCGAAAGCCAGGGGAGCAAACGGG
This 253-nucleotide ribosomal RNA is filed under the name uncultured bacterium. RNAcentral describes it as "partial 16S ribosomal RNA". It matches the Rfam family "Bacterial small subunit ribosomal RNA", at positions 524 to 776 of the family's 1533-position model. The record is from RNAcentral.